CCCUUAGAUGUCCUGGGCCGCACGCGCGCUACACUGAUGCAUGCAACGAGUUUAUAACCUUGGCCUGAAAGGUCUGGGUAAUCUUUUGAACGUGCAUCGUGAUAGGGAUAGAUUAUUGCAAUUGUUAAUCUUGAACGAGGAAUUCCUAGUAAACGCGAGUCAUCAGCUCGCAUUGAUUACGUCCCUGCCCUUUGUACACACCGCCCGUCGCACCUACCGAUUAAAUGGUUCGGUGAAGAUCUCGGACUUCGAUAUUUAUUCUUUAUUGAGUUUAUAUUGUGGGAAGUUAUCUAAACCUCAUCAUUUAGAGGAAGGUGAAGUCGUAACA
RNAcentral lists this ribosomal RNA (328 nucleotides) under uncultured eukaryote. RNAcentral describes it as "partial 18S ribosomal RNA". It matches the Rfam family "Eukaryotic small subunit ribosomal RNA", at positions 1470 to 1796 of the family's 1831-position model. The record is from RNAcentral.